UUGCUUCUCUUGAGAGCGGCGGACGGGUGAGUAAUGCCUAGGAAUCUGCCUGGUAGUGGGGGAUAACGUCCGGAAACGGACGCUAAUACCGCAUACGUCCUACGGGAGAAAGCAGGGGACCUUCGGGCCUUGCGCUAUCAGAUGAGCCUAGGUCGGAUUAGCUAGUUGGUGGGGUAAUGGCUCACCAAGGCGACGAUCCGUAACUGGUCUGAGAGGAUGAUCAGUCACACUGGAACUGAGACACGGUCCAGACUCCUACGGGAGGCAGCAGUGGGGAAUAUUGGACAAUGGGCGAAAGCCUGAUCCAGCCAUGCCGCGUGUGUGAAGAAGGUCUUCGGAUUGUAAAGCACUUUAAGUUGGGAGGAAGGGCAGUAAAUUAAUACUUUGCUGUUUUGACGUUACCGACAGAAUAAGCACCGGCUAACUCUGUGCCAGCAGCCGCGGUAAUACAGAGGGUGCAAGCGUUAAUCGGAAUUACUGGGCGUAAAGCGCGCGUAGGUGGUUCGUUAAGUUGGAUGUGAAAUCCCCGGGCUCAACCUGGGAACUGCAUUCAAAACUGACGAGCUAGAGUAUGGUAGAGGGUGGUGGAAUUUCCUGUGUAGCGGUGAAAUGCGUAGAUAUAGGAAGGAACACCAGUGGCGAGGCGACCACCUGGACUGAUACUGACACUGAGGUGCGAAAGCGUGGGGAGCAAAC
This 696-nucleotide ribosomal RNA is filed under the name uncultured bacterium. RNAcentral describes it as "bacterial SSU rRNA". It matches the Rfam family "Bacterial small subunit ribosomal RNA", at positions 80 to 773 of the family's 1533-position model. The record is from RNAcentral.